GACGAACGCUGGCGGCGUGCUUUACACAUGCAAGUCGAACGAUGAUGCCCAGCUUGCUGGGUGGAUUAGUGGCGAACGGGUGAGUAACACGUGAGUAACCUGCCCCUGACUCUGGGAUAAGCCUGGGAAACUGGGUCUAAUACUGGAUACGACAUUCUCCUGCAUGGGAUGGGUGUGGAAAGGGUUUCUGGUUGGGGAUGGGCUCGCGGCCUAUCAGCUUGUUGGUGGGGUGAUGGCCUACCAAGGCUUUGACGGGUAGCCGGCCUGAGAGGGUGGCCGGCCACAAUGGGACUGAGACACGGCCCAGACUCCUACGGGAGGCAGCAGUGGGGAAUAUUGCACACUGGGCGGAAGCCUGAUGCAGCGACGCCGCGUGAGGGAUGACGGCCUUCGGGUUGUAAACCUCUUUCAGUAGGGAAGAAGCCUUUCGGGGUGACGGUACCUGCAGAAGAAGCGCCGGCUAACUACGUGCCAGCAGCCGCAGUAA
Molecule: ribosomal RNA, 487 nt
Filed under: uncultured bacterium
Lineage: Bacteria
Description: partial 16S ribosomal RNA
Rfam family: Bacterial small subunit ribosomal RNA
Source: RNAcentral